UUCCCUGCUUGAGGUCUGACACCUCCUCCAUGGAGCCUUCCUAGUCUUCAGGGUCUAAAUCAACUUCUCAUUCCCUGACCUAUUCCC
Molecule: long non-coding RNA, 87 nt
Organism: Sapajus apella (tufted capuchin)
Lineage: Eukaryota; Metazoa; Chordata; Mammalia; Primates; Cebidae
Exons: 3
Source: RefSeq, a predicted model, not a curated record